UUAAAGAUUAUGAAGAGGAAAAGUAAUUAAUAAUAAUUAUAACAGAGAAGGUUAGUUGCUGAGAUAACCCAUAAUUUUAUUAAUGAAGUGCACCUUGGAGUCGAAGGCCUGAAUAUGAUAAGUAGGGGCUUAUGGGUUCUCCCAUUAUAGAGAUAAGGUAUUAUAAGUACCUAAAAAGAGAUGGAUAUUUGAUUAUAUCUAAUCAGAGUGGAACCGUGGAAGUUUACCUUCUGCCUCUGUG
RNAcentral lists this non-coding RNA (241 nucleotides) under Clostridium sp. Its description in RNAcentral is "T-box sequence". It matches the Rfam family "T-box leader". From Rfam's summary of the family: Uncharged tRNA acts as the effector for transcription antitermination of genes in the T-box leader family. T-boxes are found upstream of many aminoacyl-tRNA synthetase genes and some amino acid biosynthetic genes usually in Gram-positive bacteria. The anticodon of a specific tRNA base pairs to a specifier sequence within the T-box motif, and the NCCA acceptor tail of the tRNA base pairs to a conserved bulge in the T-box antiterminator hairpin. The record is from RNAcentral. Lineage: Bacteria; Bacillati; Bacillota; Clostridia; Eubacteriales; Clostridiaceae.